AGCUCUCCGAGUGGUGUGGAUGUUUAUUGGGCCUAAAGCAUCCGUAGCUGGCUAAGUUAGUCCCUUGUUAAAUCCAACGAAUUAAUCGUUGGAUUGCGGGGGAUACUGCUUGGCUAGGGGACGAGAGAGGCAGACGGUAUUUCCGGGGUAGGGGUGAAAUCCUAUAAUCCCGGGAAGACCACCAGUGGCGAAGGCUGUCUGCUAGAACGCGCCCGACGGUGAGGGAUGAAAGCUGGGGGAGCGAACC
Molecule: ribosomal RNA, 247 nt
Filed under: uncultured crenarchaeote
Lineage: Archaea; Thermoproteati; Thermoproteota
Description: partial 16S ribosomal RNA
Rfam family: Archaeal small subunit ribosomal RNA
Source: RNAcentral